UGGGGAAUCUUGCGCAAUGGGCGAAAGCCUGACGCAGCGACGCCGCGUGCGGGAAGAAGGCCUUCGGGUUGUAAACCGCUUUCAGGAGGGACGAAGCCACUCGGGUGAAUAGCCCAGAGGGUGACGGUACCUCCAGAAGAAGCCCCGGCUAACUACGUGCCAGCAGCCGCGGUAAUACGUAGGGGGCAAGCGUUGUCCGGAUUCAUUGGGCGUAAAGAGCGUGUAGGCGGCCAGGUAGGUCGGUUGUGAAAACUGGAGGCUCAACCUUCAGAGGUCGACCGAAACCAUCUGGCUAGAGUCCGGGAGAGGAGAGUGGAAUUCCUGGUGUAGCGGUGAAAUGCGCAGAUAUCAGGAAGAACACCCGUGGCGAAAGCGGCUCUCUGGAACGGUACUGACGCUGAGACGCGAAAGCGUGGGGAGCGAACAGG
RNAcentral lists this ribosomal RNA (428 nucleotides) under uncultured Gaiella sp. Its description in RNAcentral is "bacterial SSU rRNA". It matches the Rfam family "Bacterial small subunit ribosomal RNA", at positions 355 to 776 of the family's 1533-position model. The record is from RNAcentral. Lineage: Bacteria; Bacillati; Actinomycetota; Thermoleophilia; Gaiellales; Gaiellaceae.